UCAUAUGCUUGUCUCAAAGAUUAAGCCAUGCAUGUGUAAGUACAAGCCCAUGAAAGGUGAAACCGCGAAUGGCUCAUUAAAUCAGCUAUGAUUCCUUGGAUCUGUACACCCAGUUACUUGGAUAACUGUGGUAAUUCUAGAGCUAAUACAUGCACACAGUCCCUGACCGCAAGGAAAGGGCGCUUUUAUUAGUUCAAAACCGGUCUUCAGGCUACGGUCUGUAACCAACCUUGAUGAAUCUGGAUAACUCUGCUGAGCGCACGGCCCCUGUGCCUGCGCCACAUCUUUCAAGUGUCUGCCUUAUCAGCUCGAUUGUAGGUUAUGUGCCUACAAUGGCUAUAACGGGUAACGGGGAAUCAGGGUUCGAUUCCGGAGAGGGAGCCUGAGAAACGGCUACCACAUCUAAGGAAGGCAGCAGGCACGCAAAUUACCCACUCCCGGCACGGGGAGGUAGUGACGAAAAAUAAUGAUGUGAGACUCAUCCGAGGCCUCGCAAUCAGAAUGAGUACACUUUAAAUCCUUAUGCGAGGACCAAUUGGAGGGCAAGUCUGGUGCCAGCAGCCGCGGUAAUUCCAGCUCCAAUAGCAUAUAUUAAUGUUGUUGUGGUUAAAAAGCUCAUAGUUGGACUGCAGUACAGAAUGACGGAUGAUUGUGCCGCAAGGCUCCUUCCGUCAUCCCCUGACAAGCCUGAGAUAUGGCUCCGCCGGACCUCACGGGGUGCUCUUGACCGAGUGCCCCAAAGAGUGGCUGGCAUGUUUACUUUGAAAAAAUUAGAGUGCUCAAAGCAGGCAAUAUAAAUUGGCCUGAAUGCUUAUGCAUGGAAUAAUGGAAUAGGACCUCGGUUCUAUUUUGUCGGUUUUCUGCGGAAUCCGAGGUAAUGAUUAAGAGGAACAGUUGGGGGCAUACGUAUUGAGAGGCUAGAGGUGAAAUUCUUGGACCCUCUCAAGACGACCUAAAGCGAAAGCAUUUGCCAAGGAUGUUUUCAUUAAUCAAGAACGAAAGUUAGAGGAUCGAAGGCGAUCAGAUACCGCCCUAGUUCUAACCGUAAACUAUGCUAACCAGCAAUCUGCCGGUGUUAUACCCAUGACCCGGCAGGCAGCUUCCGGGAAACCAAAGUCUUUGAGUUCCAGGGGAAGUAUGGUUGCAAAGCUGAAACUUAAAGGAAUUGACGGAAGGGCACCACCAGGAGUGGAGCCUGCGGCUUAAUUUGACUCAACACGGGAAACCUCACCAGGCCCAGACACUGGAAGGAUUGACAGAUUGAGAGCUCUUUCUCGAUUCAGUGGGUGGUGGUGCAUGGCCGUUCUUAGUUGGUGGAGUGAUUUGUCUGGUUAAUUCCGAUAACGAACGAGACUCUGGCCUACUAAAUAGUCGACGGAUUUCCAUUAUCACAUGGUGUCCAGUCGCAAUAUAGUCUUCUUAGAGGGACAAGUGGCAAACAUAGCCACGUGAGAUUGAGCAAUAACAGGUCUGUGAUGCCCUUAGAUGUUCUGGGCCGCACGCGCGCUACACUGAAAGGAUCAGAGUGUUUUCCCGCUCCGAGAGGAGUUUGGGUAACCCUGACAAAUCCUUUCUUGAUUGGGAUUGGGGCUUGCAAUUGUCUCCCAUGAACGAGGAAUUCCCAGUAAGCGCAAGUCAUGAGCUUGCGUUGAUUACGUCCCUGCCCUUUGUACACACCGCCCGUCGCUACUACCGAUUGAAUGAUUUAGUGAGGCCUUCGGACUGGCACCCUUGGAUCCAAUGCUGCUGUCACGCCCUAAUUGCGGGGUUCCCUGGCAGCCGUACCUCGGGUUGACGGAAAGAUGUCCAAACUUGAUCAUUUAGAGGAA
RNAcentral lists this ribosomal RNA (1829 nucleotides) under Uroptychus parvulus. RNAcentral describes it as "SSU rRNA". It matches the Rfam family "Eukaryotic small subunit ribosomal RNA". Lineage: Eukaryota; Metazoa; Arthropoda; Malacostraca; Decapoda; Chirostylidae. The record is from RNAcentral.